RNAcentral lists this ribosomal RNA (497 nucleotides) under uncultured bacterium. RNAcentral's name for it is "partial 16S ribosomal RNA". It matches the Rfam family "Bacterial small subunit ribosomal RNA", at positions 28 to 507 of the family's 1533-position model. The record is from RNAcentral.
GAUGAACGCUGGCGGCGUGCCUAAUACAUGCAAGUCGAGCGAACAGACGAGGAGCUUGCUCCUCUGACGUUAGCGGCGGACGGGUGAGUAACACGUGGAUAACCUACCUAUAAGACUGGGAUAACUUCGGGAAACCGGAGCUAAUACCGGAUAAUAUAUUGAACCGCAUGGUUCAAUAGUGAAAGACGGUUUUGCUGUCACUUAUAGAUGGAUCCGCGCCGCAUUAGCUAGUUGGUAAGGUAACGGCUUACCAAGGCGACGAUGCGUAGCCGACCUGAGAGGGUGAUCGGCCACACUGGAACUGAGACACGGUCCAGACUCCUACGGGAGGCAGCAGUAGGGAAUCUUCCGCAAUGGGCGAAAGCCUGACGGAGCAACGCCGCGUGAGUGAUGAAGGUCUUCGGAUCGUAAAACUCUGUUAUUAGGGAAGAACCAAUGUGUAAGUAACUAUGCACGUCUUGACGGUGCCUAAUCAGAAAGCCACGGCUAACUACGUG